RNAcentral lists this ribosomal RNA (520 nucleotides) under uncultured Glomus. RNAcentral's name for it is "SSU rRNA". It matches the Rfam family "Eukaryotic small subunit ribosomal RNA", at positions 569 to 1092 of the family's 1831-position model. Lineage: Eukaryota; Fungi; Glomeromycota; Glomeromycetes; Glomerales; Glomeraceae. The record is from RNAcentral.
AGCAGCCGCGGUAAUUCCAGCUCCAAUAGCGUAUAUUAAAGUUGUUGCAGUUAAAAGCUCGUAGUUGAAUUUCGGGAUCAAAUUGUCGGUCGUGCCUCGGUACGCACUGGCGUUAUUGGUUCCUCCCUUCUGAAGAACCGCGAUGUCAUUAAUUUGGUGUCGCGGGGAAUCAGGACUGUUACUUUGAAAAAAUUAGAGUGUUUAAAGCAAGCUCGCGCUUGAAUACAUUAGCAUGGAAUAAUGAAAUAGGACGUUUGAUUCUAUUUUGUUGGUUUCUAGGAUCGACGUAAUGAUUAAUAGGGAUAGUUGGGGGCAUUAGUAUUCAAUUGUCAGAGGUGAAAUUCUUUGGAUUAUUGAAGACUAACUACUGCGAAAGCAUUUGCCAAGGAUGUUUUCACUAAUCAAGAACGAAAGUUAGGGGAUCGAAGACGACCAGAUACCGUCGUAGUCUUAACCAUAAACUAUGCCGACUAGGGAUCGGAUGAUGUUAAUUUUUUAAUGACUCAUUCGGCGCCUUACG